RNAcentral lists this ribosomal RNA (440 nucleotides) under uncultured bacterium. RNAcentral describes it as "partial 16S ribosomal RNA". It matches the Rfam family "Bacterial small subunit ribosomal RNA", at positions 338 to 795 of the family's 1533-position model. The record is from RNAcentral.
CCUACGGGAGGCAGCAGUGGGGAAUAUUGCGCAAUGGGGGAAACCCUGAUGCAGCAACGCCGCGUGAGUGAAGAAGUAUUUCGGUAUGUAAAGCUCUAUCAGCAGGGAAGAAGAUGACGGUACCUGAUUAAGAAGCCCCGGCUAACUACGUGCCAGCAGCCGCGGUCAUACGUAGGGGGCACGCGUUAUCCGGAUUUACGGGGUGUAAGGGGAGCGGAGACGGCAGUGCAAGUCUGGAGUGAAAGCCGGGGGCCCAACCCCGGAACUGCUCUGGAAACUGGGCGGCUAGAGUGCAGGAGGGGCAGGCCGAAUUCCGAGUGUAGCGGUGAAAUGCGUAGAUAUUAGGAGGAACACCAGUGGCGAAGGCGGCCUGCUGGACAGUAACUGACGUUGAGGCUCGAAAGCGUGGGGAGCAAACAGGAUUAGAUACCCCAGUAGUC